CGCGAAUGGCUCAUUAUAACAGCUAUAAUUUACUUGAUCUUGACACAAUCCUACUUGGAUAACUGUGGUAAUUCUAGAGCUAAUACAUGCAUUAAAGCUCUGACCUCACGGGAAGAGUGCAUUUAUUAGAACAAAACCAAGCGGCUUCGGCUGUUUCUGGUUGACUCAUAGUAACUGAGCUGAUCGCAUGGUCCUGCACCGGCGACGUGUCCUUCAAGUAUCUGCCGUAUCAACUUUCGAUGGUAGUGUAUCUGGCUACCAUGGUGAUCACGCGUAACGGAAAAUAAGGGUUCGGCUCCGGAGAGUUCGCCUGAGAAAUCGCGAACACAUCUAAGGAAGGCAGCAGGCGCGAAAAUUACCCACUCUCAGCACGAGGAGGUAGUGACGAAAAAUAACGAGACCGUUCUCUUAUGAGGCCGGUCAUCGGAAUGGGUACAAUUUAAACCCUUUAACGAGUAUCUAUAAGAGGGCAAGUCUGGUGCCAGCAGCCGCGGUAAUUCCA
Molecule: ribosomal RNA, 502 nt
Filed under: Cervidellus vexilliger
Lineage: Eukaryota; Metazoa; Nematoda; Chromadorea; Rhabditida; Cephalobidae
Description: SSU rRNA
Rfam family: Eukaryotic small subunit ribosomal RNA
Source: RNAcentral